UAAGGAAUAUUGGUCAAUGGACGCAAGUCUGAACCAGCCAUGCCGCGUGAAGGAUGAAGGCCCUCUGGGUUGUAAACUUCUUUUAUCUGGGAAGAAAUGCUUGUUUUUUAACGAGUUUGACGGUACCAGAGGAAUAAGCACCGGCUAACUCCGUGCCAGCAGCCGCGGUAAUACGGAGGGUGCAAGCGUUAUCCGGAUUCACUGGGUUUAAAGGGUGCGUAGAUGGGAAUGUAAGUCAGUGGUGAAAUCUCCGUGCUUAACAUGGAAACUGCCAUUGAUACUAUGUUUCUUGAAUUUUCUGGAGGUCAGCGGAAUAUGUCAUGUAGCGGUGAAAUGCUUAGAUAUGACAUAGAACACCAAUUGCGAAGGCAGCUGACUACAGGGAUAUUGACACUGAGGCACGAAAGCGUGGGGAUCAAACAGG
This 424-nucleotide ribosomal RNA is filed under the name Bacillota bacterium. RNAcentral describes it as "Firmicutes bacterium partial 16S ribosomal RNA". It matches the Rfam family "Bacterial small subunit ribosomal RNA", at positions 355 to 776 of the family's 1533-position model. The record is from RNAcentral. Lineage: Bacteria; Bacillati; Bacillota.